CAGCAGCCGCGGUAAUACGGAGGGAGCUAGCGUUGUUCGGAAUCACUGGGCGUAAAGCGCACGUAGGCGGCUAUUCAAGUCAGGGGUGAAAGCCCGGGGCUCAACCCCGGACUGCCUUUGAAACUAGAUAGCUUGAAUCUUGGAGAGGCGAGUGGAAUUCCGAGUGUAGAGAUGAAAUUCGUAGAUAUUCGGAAGAACACCAGUGGCGAAGGCGACUCGCUGGACAAGUAUUGACGCUGAGGUGCGAAAGCGUGGGGAGCAAACAGGAUUAGAUACCCGAGUAGUCCCUGUCUCUUAUACA
Molecule: ribosomal RNA, 301 nt
Filed under: uncultured bacterium
Lineage: Bacteria
Description: partial 16S ribosomal RNA
Rfam family: Bacterial small subunit ribosomal RNA
Source: RNAcentral